GCCUGGGUAAAUCGUGUAGCUUAACUAUACGACUUCCGGGUAGACUGCUAAACUUGAGACCGGGAGAGGCUAGAGGUACUCCUGGGGUAGAGGUGAAAUUCUGUAAUCCUAGGGGGACCACCAGUGGCGAAGGCGUCUAGCUAGAACGGGUCUGACGGUGAGGGACGAAGCCCUGGGGCACAAACCGGAUUAGAUACCCGGGUAGUCCAGGGUGUAAACGCUGCUUGCUUGAUGUUAGUUGGGCUCCGAGCCCAACUAGUGUCGGAGAGAAGUUGUUAAGCAAGCUGCCUGGGAAGUACGGUCGCAAGGCUGAAACUUAAAGGAAUUGGCGGGGGAGCACAGCAACGGGUGGAGCGUGCGGUUUAAUUGGAUUCAACGCCGGAAAACUCACCGGAGGCGACGGUUACAUGAAGGCCAGGCUGAUGACCUUGCCUGAUUUUCCGAGAGGUGGUGCAUGGCCGCCGUCAGUUCGUACCGUAAGGCGUUCUGUUAAGUCAGACAACGAACGAGACCCUCAUCUUUAAUUGCUACUGGUAAGUUCGCUUACUGGGCACAUUAGAGAAACCGCUGGCGAUAAGUCAGAGGAAGGCGAGGUCAACGGUAGGUCAGUAUGCCCCGAAUCUCCCGGGCUACACGCGCGCUACAAAGGGCAGGACAAUGGGCUUCAACACCGAGAGGUGAAGGCAAUCCCGAAACCUGCCCGUAGUUCGAAUUGAGGGCUGUAACUCGCCCUCAUGAAGCUGGAUUCCGUAGUAAUCGCGGAUCAACAUCCCGCGGUGAAUAUGCCCCUGCUCC
RNAcentral lists this ribosomal RNA (795 nucleotides) under uncultured archaeon. Its description in RNAcentral is "bacterial SSU rRNA". It matches the Rfam family "Archaeal small subunit ribosomal RNA", at positions 539 to 1336 of the family's 1478-position model. The record is from RNAcentral.